GCAAGUCGAACGCAGUAGCAAUACUGAGUGGCAGACGGGUGAGUAACAUGUGGGAAUCUGCCUUGUGGUUCAGGACAACAUUGGGAAACCGAUGCUAAUACUGGAUAAGCCCUUACGGGGAAAGUUUUAAUGCCAUAAGAUGAGCCCGCAUUUGAUUAGUUAGUUGGUGAGGUAAUGGCUCACCAAGACAAUGAUCAAUAGCUGAUCUGAGAGGAUGAUCAGCCACACUGGGACUGAGACACGGCCCAGACUCCUACGGGAGGCAGCAGUGGGGAAUCUUGCACAAUGGAGGAAACUCUGAUGCAGCGAUGCCGCGUGAGUGAAGAAGGCCUUUGGGUUGUAAAGCUCUUUUGUAGGGGAAGAUAAUGACUGUACCCUAAGAAUAAGGUCCGGCUAACUUCGUGCCAGCAGCCGCGGUAAUACGAAGGGACCUAGCGUAGUUCGGAAUUACUGGGCGUAAAGCGCGCGUAGGCCGUUGAGUUAGUUAAUUGUGAAAUCCCAAAGCUUAACUUUGGAACUGCAAUUAAAACUGCUCGACUAGAGUUUGAUAGAGGAAAGCGGAAUACAUAGUGUAGAGGUGAAAUUCGUAGAUAUUAUGUAGAACACCAGUUGCGAAGGCGGCUUUCUGGAUCAACACUGACGCUGAGGCGCGAAAGUAUGGGUAGCAAAGAGGAUUAGAUACCCUCGUAGUCCAUACCAUAAACGAUGAUUGCUAGAUGUUGGAAAUUUAUUUUCAGUAUCGCAGCUAACGCAUUAAGCAAUCCGCCUGGGGAGUACGACCGCAAGGUUAAAACUCAAAUGAAUUGACGGGGACCCGCACAAGCGGUGGAGCAUGUGGUUUAAUUCGAAGAUACGCGCAGAACCUUACCAACCCUUGACAUGUCUGUCGCGAGUUUAGGAAACUAGACUUU
RNAcentral lists this ribosomal RNA (911 nucleotides) under uncultured bacterium. RNAcentral describes it as "bacterial SSU rRNA". It matches the Rfam family "Bacterial small subunit ribosomal RNA", at positions 57 to 1015 of the family's 1533-position model. The record is from RNAcentral.